UUCUAUUAGAACUCAUUAAUAGUAUAAUCUGCUCAAUGAAAUUUAAAUAGCCGCAGAAUCUGUGCUAAGGUAGCAUAAUCAUUCGUCUUUUAAUUGAAGACUAGAACAAAAGAUUAAACGUUUAAAUUCAUAUUUCUACCUAAAAUACUCAAACUUAUCUUAAAUGUAAAAAGACAUUUAUAUAAAAGAAAGACGACAAGACCCUAUUGAACUUUACUUAAGUUUAACUGGGGCAGUUAAUUAAUAAAUACUUUAAUUUAAAUACCUUUCAAAAAGAUCCAAUAACAUUGACAAUUGAUCAAGUUACCAUAGGGAUAACAGCGUAAUAAUCUUUUAAAGCUCAUAUAUAAACAAUAAUUUGCGACCUCGAUGUUGAAUAAUUACCUAUCCCGCGCAAGAGCGGGAUAAAGGAAGUCUGUUCGACUUUUAAACAAUUACA
This 439-nucleotide ribosomal RNA is filed under the name Selenops cocheleti. RNAcentral describes it as "partial 16S ribosomal RNA". It matches the Rfam family "Bacterial large subunit ribosomal RNA", at positions 1831 to 2600 of the family's 2925-position model. Lineage: Eukaryota; Metazoa; Arthropoda; Arachnida; Araneae; Selenopidae. The record is from RNAcentral.